Long non-coding RNA from Oncorhynchus kisutch (coho salmon), 2239 nucleotides. RefSeq lists it as uncharacterized. The transcript is spliced from 4 exons. Lineage: Eukaryota; Metazoa; Chordata; Actinopteri; Salmoniformes; Salmonidae. The record is from RefSeq and is a predicted model, not a curated record.
GGAUCAUGAGUUGGCUGGAUAUUCCCGAGAGUUGAGUUUGUAUUGGUCUACCAUAUAGCACACCUCUGUCUAUUUGAGCUGCUAAGGAGAUGGAGACAACACCUGUCUCCGGUUUACAUCUUCAAACUAAGGGCAAUCAUGGCAUCCGACAGGAGACGCACACGUCCAUCCAUGAACGAUGUAUACAGGCUGUGAGGGAGAAGAGUUUGAAGAUGAAGAGGAUGGUCCCAGUUGCUGGAGAUCCUGUCACUUCACACACCAUCAGAGAUAGACUUCAAUUACAGCCUGUCUGGUAUACAAAGCCCCCUGCCUGUUUUAAACUUUCCUUGAUAAAGAAUUGAUGGAGAGUGUGGUGUAGGAAACUAACAGGUAUUCUCUUGAAAUGAAAGAAAAGACUGCCCCUGGUGUAAAAGGGAAGCUCUCAAAAUGGGUGAACACAUACCAUCGGUGAAAUGUGUACCUUCCUUGUGAAGAAGGGCUCUGUGAGGGACUACUGGUCCACUGACCCAAUGCUGCAGACCCUUUUUCCCCCCAACCUUUUUUCUCCCAGGACGGCUUCCUUGUCUUGUUGAGAGCGCUCCACUUUGUGAACAACGCCACUGCCAACAGAAUUCGGUAAUGUCCUGGGCAUCUUCACCAGGGCAUUUGGAAGAGUGUUUGUUUCUCACAAGGACUGAUGAGUCUCUCAUGGCUUGGAAAGGAAGGCUUGUAAUUCCGCCAAUACAUCCCAUCAAUGCGCCACAGAUUUGGAGUCAGGUUCUUUUGUUUUAUGUGACUGUCUGACAGGAUAUGUACAGGACCUGAUCAUAUACACAGGCGCCACCACAGAUAUAAGGCUUUUUGAGGGUCUUGGCAUAUCUGGAUCAGUGGUGAUCCCCAUUCUGCAGGCUUACCUCAGAAAGGGGCACACUGUGUUUGUGGACAGCUGGUACAGUAGCCCUACCCUUUUCCAGAACCUUAUGAGGGAGAACACAGGGGCCCAUGGCACAGUGAGAUCAAAUAGGAAGGGGAUGCCAAUAUUCAAAAACAAAAUGAGCAAGGGGGAGGUGGAGUUCCAAACAAACAGGGAGGUAAUGGCAGUAAAAUGGCACGACAAACCCAUGUUCUGUCCACUGUGCACACCUCCAAAAUAUCGGACACAGGAAAUCUGGACUAUGUCACCAGAGAGAGGAAAAUGAAGAGAGACUGUGUCUUGGAGCACAACAAGACGAUGGGAGCAGUUGACAAAGUGCACAUGCAGAACCAUUUUGUUGAGUGUGCCAGAAAGUCCCUUAAAAGGUACAAGAUAUAUAGCUCUCCUUAAUGACCACAUUGUCCACCGGCAGGUCACAGGACAGGUGAUCUUGUCCCAGCAAUACAGGAUAAAUCUGAUGCGGCAGGCUCCUUGAGGACCACCACACUCCUCAUUGUCCGUCUGCUGGGGGCCGGCCUGCCUCGUACAAACCUCUAAGCCUCACUGGACUCCACUUUCCAAGUGAUGUCCCUCAGACCACCCUGCAAGGAAAAAGCACAAGGAGCUAUUGCAAGGUCUGUCUACAAUCUACCCGAGGACAGAAACAAAGGCAAUUGACCAAGUACACCAUGUGACACAGCCUUGUCUGCAGUUCCUUACUUUGGUGAGUAUCACACUCUGAAGCACUACUAAAUUGAAAGUAGGCUUAUAGUGGCUGAUACAUUCGUUGCUUUAUGCUGAUACUUCAAAAAUAUAUAAUUGUAAAGUGUAUUGAAAUGUAUGACUUGAGGUGUUUGAUGGGGGUGAUUGGGGAAAUGUUCUCCCCAAAACAUAUAUGUAACACAUGCUUGCCUGAAAUUAAAUACUUUGUUUGACUCCUGCAUUCUAUUUCUGAAAUUAAACAGAACAAGAAAAGUAUGUAAUCAACAAUUGUAUUGAAAUGUAUGACUUGAUGUGUUUUUCUUUAUUUUAAAAAAACCUUUAUUUAACUAGGCAAGUCAGUUAAGAACAAAUUCUUAUUUUCAAUGAUGGCCUAGGACCAGUGGGUUAACUGCUUGUUCAGGGGUAGAACGACAGAUUUGAACCUUGUCAGCUCGGGGAUUUGAACUUGUCCACCGCUCUAACCACUAGGCUACCCUGCCUCACCCACUGAUGCAUAGUGGGCGAGGCAGGAUUGGAGAAAUGUUCUUUUAAAAAAAUGUACAAAAAAGAUGGAAAUGUUACAUAUGUUUAUUUACUUUGUUUCACUCCUGGGCUCCAUUUCUGAAAUAAAACAGAACAAGAAAA